UGGCGGACGGGUGAGUAACGCGUGGGCAACCUGCCUCACACAGGGGGAUAACAGUUAGAAAUGACUGCUAAUACCGCAUAAGACCGCAGUACCGCAUGGUACAGUGGUAAAAACUCCGGUGGUGUGAGAUGGGCCCGCGUCUGAUUAGGUAGUUGGUGAGGUAAUGGCUCACCAAGCCGACGAUCAGUAGCCGACCUGAGAGGGUGACCGGCCACAUUGGGACUGAGACACGGCCCAAACUCCUACGGGAGGCAGCAGUGGGGGAUAUUGCACAAUGGGCGAAAGCCUGAUGCAGCAACGCCGCGUGAAGGAAGACGGUUUUCGGAUUGUAAACUUCUGUUCUUAGUGAAGAAGUAUGACGGUAGCUAAGGAGCAAGCCACGGCUAACUACGUGCCAGCAGCCGCAGUAAAAC
Molecule: ribosomal RNA, 413 nt
Filed under: uncultured bacterium
Lineage: Bacteria
Description: bacterial SSU rRNA
Rfam family: Bacterial small subunit ribosomal RNA
Source: RNAcentral